RNAcentral lists this ribosomal RNA (546 nucleotides) under Alternaria alternata. RNAcentral describes it as "eukaryotic LSU rRNA". The stretch from base 171 to 324 matches the Rfam family "5.8S ribosomal RNA". Lineage: Eukaryota; Fungi; Ascomycota; Dothideomycetes; Pleosporales; Pleosporaceae. The record is from RNAcentral.
GGAUUCUAAUUAGUUAACCUUGCUUGGAACCUCUCGGGGUUACUGCCUUGCUGAAUUAUUCACCCUUGUCUUUUGCGUACUUCUUGUUUCCUUGGUGGGUUCGCCCACCACUAGGACAAACAUAAACCUUUUGUAAUUGCAAUCAGCGUCAGUAACAAAUUAAUAAUUACAACUUUCAACAACGGAUCUCUUGGUUCUGGCAUCGAUGAAGAACGCAGCGAAAUGCGAUAAGUAUUGUGAAUUGCAGAAUUCAGUGAAUCAUCGAAUCUUUGAACGCACAUUGCGCCCUUUGGUAUUCCAAAGGGCAUGCCUGUUCGAGCGUCAUUUGUACCCUCAAGCUUUGCUUGGUGUUGGGCGUCUUGUCUCUAGCUUUGCUGGAGACUCGCCUUAAAGUAAUUGGCAGCCGGCCUACUGGUUUCGGAGCGCAGCACAAGUCGCACUCUCUAUCAGCAAAGGUCUAGCAUCCAUUAAGCCUUUUUUUCAACUUUUGACCUCGGAUCAGGUAGGGAUACCCGCUGAACUUAAGCAUAUCAAUAAGCGGAGGAA